GUGCCCUUCUUUGACUUGCCGACGAUCUCGCGAUCUCACGGCGGUAACAGGGGUUCGAGUCCCCUAGGGGACGCCA
This 76-nucleotide transfer RNA is filed under the name Pseudomonas aeruginosa. RNAcentral's name for it is "tRNA-Glu". The record is from RNAcentral. Lineage: Bacteria; Pseudomonadati; Pseudomonadota; Gammaproteobacteria; Pseudomonadales; Pseudomonadaceae.